RNAcentral lists this transfer RNA (60 nucleotides) under Proasellus grafi. RNAcentral describes it as "transfert RNA-Q(CAA)". The record is from RNAcentral. RNAcentral also lists the same sequence under 2 other names. Lineage: Eukaryota; Metazoa; Arthropoda; Malacostraca; Isopoda; Asellidae.
UAUCUUUAAGUGUUUUGCACGUAAACUUUUGAUGUUUAAAGAAGAUUAAUCUAAAGAUAA